GUUGAACGCUGGCGGCGUGCCUAAUACAUGCAAGUCGAGCGAACGGACGAGAAGCUUGCUUCUCUGAUGUUAGCGGCGGACGGGUGAGUAACAGGUGGAUAACCUGCCUAUAAGACUGGGAUAACUUCGGGAAACCUGAUCUAAUACAGGAUGAGAUUUUGAACCGCAUGGUUCAAAAGUGAAAAAGGGUCUAGCUGUGACUUAUAGGUGGUUCCGCGCUGCAUUAGCUAGUUGGUAAGGUAACGGCUUACCAAGGCAACGAUGCAUAGCCGACCUGAGAGGGUGAUCGGCCACACUGGAACUGAGACACGGUCCAGACUCCUACGGGAGGCAGCAGUAGGGAAUCUUCCGCAAUGGGCGAAAGCCUGACGGAGCAACGCCGCGUGAGUGAUGAAGGUCUUCGGAUCGUAAAACUCUGUUAUUAGGGAAGAACAUAUGUGUAAGUAACUGUGCACAUCUUGACGGUACCUAAUCAGAAAGCCACGGCUAACUACGUG
Molecule: ribosomal RNA, 497 nt
Filed under: uncultured bacterium
Lineage: Bacteria
Description: partial 16S ribosomal RNA
Rfam family: Bacterial small subunit ribosomal RNA
Source: RNAcentral